Molecule: ribosomal RNA, 496 nt
Filed under: uncultured bacterium
Lineage: Bacteria
Description: partial 16S ribosomal RNA
Rfam family: Bacterial small subunit ribosomal RNA
Source: RNAcentral
AUGCACGCUGGCGGCGUGCCUAAUCCCUGCCAGUCGAGCGAACAGAUAAGGAGCUUGCUCCUUUGACGUUAGCGGCGGACGGGUGAGUAACACGUGGAUAACCUACCUAUAAGACUGGGAUAACUUCGGGAAACCGGAGCUAAUACCGGAUAACAUAUUGAACCGCAUGGUUCAAUAGUGAAAGGCGGCUUUGCUGUCACUUAUAGAUGGAUCCGCGCCGUAUUAGCUAGUUGGUAAGGUAACGGCUUACCAAGGCAACGAUACGUAGCCGACCUGAGAGGGUGAUCGGCCACACUGGAACUGAGACACGGUCCAGACUCCUACGGGAGGCAGCAGUAGGGAAUCUUCCGCAAUGGGCGAAAGCCUGACGGAGCAACGCCGCGUGAGUGAUGAAGGUCUUCGGAUCGUAAAACUCUGUUAUCAGGGAAGAACAAAUGUGUAAGUAACUGUGCACAUCUUGACGGUACCUGAUCAGAAAGCCACGGCUAACUACGUG